This 94-nucleotide unclassified non-coding RNA is filed under the name Algibacter luteus. Its description in RNAcentral is "Arenitalea lutea Flavo-1 RNA". The record is from RNAcentral. Lineage: Bacteria; Pseudomonadati; Bacteroidota; Flavobacteriia; Flavobacteriales; Flavobacteriaceae.
GAUUAACCCGCGUUAGCGAUUGCAAUGGAAAGCCCACAGCUUUAGCGAUUAAUAGCGCUAAAGCGAGGACUUGAAGUGUAAAGCGCGACCCUUG